CUCAGGGAGCUGACUGAUGUGGGGCUUUCAAAGCAGACUCAACUUAUCUACAGGAAAAACCUGAAAAGAUUCCUCACCUACCAGACCAUCAACACCAACCUGAGGCAUGAUGACAAGGACCUGCAUACAGACUGUAGGGAGUUCAUAGACUACCUCGGACUGCUGCAGAAGAGCUGCAGUGAGAAGGUCAGCGAGGAGAUUACCCAAAAAAGGCACGAGAGGUUGACAGCAGAUGGAGAACUGACAACGCAUGACUGCACAGCUGUGCUCAGGGCCACGUGUGUGCGGCCACGACUCCGGUCCUGCAUCAGGAAGCGGAAGAGGGAAGAUCUGGAUGGGACUGAAGAGAGAUUCUUCAUCUCAUCUGCGAGUGGAAGAAUACACAAUCCCUCCAAUGACCUCCGACGGCUGCACAUAAGGUAUGGCGUCAGACCAUGGGUGACCAGCCAGAGAGCACGCCGGGCCUUCGAGACAGCCACCAAGAGUCUGACUGACACAGAAGUAUCUGGUGGCUGACUACGUAACACAUUCGACUGCUACAGCGGAGAAACAUUACCGCGUGAAGCAGGCGGACAACGCAGUGAGGGCUAGUCAGCUCCUGGAUUCGCUGGCUGGUCAGUCAAC
This is a long non-coding RNA of Ictalurus punctatus (channel catfish), 624 nucleotides long. The record is from Ensembl. Lineage: Eukaryota; Metazoa; Chordata; Actinopteri; Siluriformes; Ictaluridae.